Molecule: ribosomal RNA, 535 nt
Filed under: Lactobacillus delbrueckii subsp. lactis
Lineage: Bacteria; Bacillati; Bacillota; Bacilli; Lactobacillales; Lactobacillaceae
Description: bacterial SSU rRNA
Rfam family: Bacterial small subunit ribosomal RNA
Source: RNAcentral
UUUGAUCCUGGCUCAGGACGAACGCUGGCGGCGUGCCUAAUACAUGCAAGUCGAGCGAGCUGAAUUCAAAGAUCCCUUCGGGGUGAUUUGUUGGACGCUAGCGGCGGAUGGGUGAGUAACACGUGGGCAAUCUGCCCUAAAGACUGGGAUACCACUUGGAAACAGGUGCUAAUACCGGAUAACAACAUGAAUCGCAUGAUUCAAGUUUGAAAGGCGGCGCAAGCUGUCACUUUAGGAUGAGCCCGCGGCGCAUUAGCUAGUUGGUGGGGUAAAGGCCUACCAAGGCAAUGAUGCGUAGCCGAGUUGAGAGACUGAUCGGCCACAUUGGGACUGAGACACGGCCCAAACUCCUACGGGAGGCAGCAGUAGGGAAUCUUCCACAAUGGACGCAAGUCUGAUGGAGCAACGCCGCGUGAGUGAAGAAGGUCUUCGGAUCGUAAAGCUCUGUUGUUGGUGAAGAAGGAUAGAGGCAGUAACUGGUCUUUAUUUGACGGUAAUCAACCAGAAAGUCACGGCUAACUACGUGCCAGCAGCC